CGACUGAACUAUAUCAUGGUCAUUUUCCUGUGACAUGAAUUAUUUUUGUAUAAAAUCAUCUUCAGUGGCUGCCGGGAUUUCCAGUUUCAGUUACCUGCAGCCAGCUGUGGCUUGGGAGCAGGAGAUCCUCCCGACGAAUUAACAGGAAGUCAAAGAUAGUCUACCAC
This 167-nucleotide long non-coding RNA is filed under the name Mustela putorius furo (domestic ferret). RNAcentral's name for it is "lncRNA (ENSMPUG00000030383.1)". Lineage: Eukaryota; Metazoa; Chordata; Mammalia; Carnivora; Mustelidae. The record is from RNAcentral.